UGGGGAAUUUUCCGCAAUGGGCGCAAGCCUGACGGAGCAAGACCGCGUGGGGGAUGACUGCCUAAUGGUUGUAAACCCCUUUUCUCUGGGAAGAUGAUGACGGUACCAGAGGAAUCAGCCUCGGCUAACUCCGUGCCAGCAGCCGCGGUAAUACGGAGGAGGCAAGCGUUAUCCGGAAUUAUUGGGCGUAAAGCGUCCGUAGGUGGUUGUUCAAGUCUGCUGUCAAAGCGUGGGGCUCAACUCCAUAGAGGCAGUGGAAACUGGGUAACUAGAGUGCGGUAGGGGUCGAGGGAAUUCCCAGUGUAGCGGUGAAAUGCGUAGAUAUUGGGAAGAACACCAGUGGCGAAAGCGCUCGACUGGGCCUGCACUGACACUGAGGGACGAAAGCUAGGGGAGCGAAAGGGAUUAGAUACCCCCGUAGUCC
RNAcentral lists this ribosomal RNA (424 nucleotides) under uncultured prokaryote. Its description in RNAcentral is "bacterial SSU rRNA". It matches the Rfam family "Bacterial small subunit ribosomal RNA", at positions 355 to 796 of the family's 1533-position model. The record is from RNAcentral.